This 465-nucleotide ribosomal RNA is filed under the name Vreelandella stevensii. RNAcentral's name for it is "partial 16S ribosomal RNA". It matches the Rfam family "Bacterial small subunit ribosomal RNA", at positions 338 to 795 of the family's 1533-position model. Lineage: Bacteria; Pseudomonadati; Pseudomonadota; Gammaproteobacteria; Oceanospirillales; Halomonadaceae. The record is from RNAcentral.
CCUACGGGGGGCUGCAGUGGGGAAUAUUGGACAAUGGGCGAAAGCCUGAUCCAGCCAUGCCGCGUGUGUGAAGAAGGCCUUCGGGUUGUAAAGCACUUUCAGUGGGGAAGAAAGCCUUGGGGCUAAUACCCUCGAGGAAGGACAUCACCCACAGAAGAAGCACCGGCUAACUCCGUGCCAGCAGCCGCGGUAAUACGGAGGGUGCGAGCGUUAAUCGGAAUUACUGGGCGUAAAGCGCGCGUAGGCGGUCUGAUAAGCCGGUUGUGAAAGCCCCGGGCUCAACCUGGGAACGGCAUCCGGAACUGUCAGGCUAGAGUGCAGGAGAGGAAGGUAGAAUUCCCGGUGUAGCAGUGAAAUGCGUAGAGAUCGGGAGGAAUACCAGUGGUGAAGGCGGCCUUCUGGACUGACACUGACGCUGAGGUGCGAAAGCGUGGGUAGCAAACAGGAUUAGAUACCCUAGUAGUC